CCGUCAGGAUGAAAAAAAUACGGAUGUAGAGUCCACGACUCGCUGUCCGAGAGCGCAUAAACCUCGUGUGGAUGAUUCCGUUGCCUUCCUUCUGAACCAUACU
Molecule: small nucleolar RNA, 103 nt
Filed under: Lentinula edodes (shiitake mushroom)
Lineage: Eukaryota; Fungi; Basidiomycota; Agaricomycetes; Agaricales; Omphalotaceae
Description: Small nucleolar RNA Z13/snr52
Rfam family: Small nucleolar RNA Z13/snr52
About the family: Z13 or snr52 is a member of the C/D class of snoRNA which contain the C (UGAUGA) and D (CUGA) box motifs. Most of the members of the box C/D family function in directing site-specific 2'-O-methylation of substrate RNAs.
Source: Rfam by way of RNAcentral